GGUGGCACGUCCUGCAGCCUACCCAACUGGCGCAUUACCCUAGAAGGACUGUAUGGUCUAGUGCAAUUGAGCCCUAACAUAACUAAAGGGAGCUGCGUCUGAUAACCCAACAAGAUUAUCUUCGGUCGAAGCCACAAAUAAGUCCACAAAAUGUUAUCCCCGGUUCUUGAUUCAAGAAAUACAAUCCAAGCCUCGACUCCCACGGG
RNAcentral lists this long non-coding RNA (206 nucleotides) under Capsicum annuum. RNAcentral describes it as "long non-coding RNA (CANN_LNC009390)". Lineage: Eukaryota; Viridiplantae; Streptophyta; Magnoliopsida; Solanales; Solanaceae. The record is from RNAcentral.